GGUAGCGUAAUCACUUGUCUUUUAAAUGAAGACCCGUAUGAAUGGUAAAACGAGGGCUUAACUGUCUCCCCUCCCAAGUCAGUGAAAUUGAUCUGCCCGUGCAGAAGCGAGCAUAAACAUGCAAGACGAGAAGACCCUUUGGAGCUUAAGACAUAAGGUCAACUAUGUUAAAAGUCCUAACGAAAAGAACCCCAAACAAAACAGCAACUGACCAGAGUCUUCGGUUGGGGCGACCGCGGGGGAAAAGAAAGCCCCCACAUGGAAUGGGAUAUCCCCAAACCAAGAGGGACACCUCUAAGCCACAGAACAUCUGACCAAAAGAUCCGGUAUAUUUACCGAUUAACGAACCAAGUUACCCUAGGGAUAACAGCGCAAUCCCCUUCAAGAGUCCAUAUCGACAAGGGGGUUUACGACCUCGAUGUUGGAUCAGGACAUCCUAAUGGUGCAGCCGCUAUUAAGGGUUCGUUUGUUCAACGAUUAA
Molecule: ribosomal RNA, 481 nt
Filed under: Triportheus magdalenae
Lineage: Eukaryota; Metazoa; Chordata; Actinopteri; Characiformes; Triportheidae
Description: partial 16S large subunit ribosomal RNA
Rfam family: Bacterial large subunit ribosomal RNA
Source: RNAcentral